Plectropomus leopardus (leopard coralgrouper) is the source of this 1066-nucleotide non-coding RNA. The record is from RefSeq and is a predicted model, not a curated record. NCBI's taxonomy places the organism in Eukaryota, Metazoa, Chordata, Actinopteri, Perciformes, Serranidae.
UAACAUUUAAAGUUAUUAAUUUAAAAGCAAUAUGGGAAUAAUAACUAAUAGGUUGUCACAGUAGUAAACUAAAACCUACCUUAGAGGAAAAGCCACACAAACUCAAAAAUAAUUACCACAUAUGCACAUCUUACUGUGCUAAUAAUAGCAUACAUAAGUUUACCUCUGCAUUCUGGUGUCAAGAUGGGAACUGUUGCAUUCUUUCGGAUAUUAGCCCCAGCUGUCCUUCUCAGUCCCAUGUUCUCCAGCUUCAGCUUUCUGAUUUCCGUCCUCAUCGCCCUGAUCACCUGUAUGAGCCUCUGUUCUCUGUCCAUGGUGCCACACUUUUCCACCCUGUCUGAUUCUCCCGCAGAGGGAAACAACCUACCACACGGCCCCAUGUGACCUGUAAACACGCAGACCACACAGGAAUGCUACAGCUACAACCCCAACAUGAUGUGUGUUCAGAGGUCACGUUGGUGUUAUUAUGAAGUUAAGUAAUUUUCAUGUCAUGGGUAAAUUGUGCAUUACUCCAUCCUUAUAGAGGUAUGAUAAAACACGCCUUUAUUUAAUAUUUGGUGAUGUGUGAGCUCCUCAUUGAUUUGUCCGUUACAAACUGACCUUUGGGACACACAUUUGAGCAGCUGAGAGGAGCUUAUUAUCAAGUUGUCCUUUUGCUCGAGUCGGGUUUUGACAUCACAUUACAUACUUUAAGUUCCUCCCAUUCCACAGUGUGGUGUGUAAGCUGUUUGUCUGCUGAUAACAACCCCCUCGGCAACAGAGAGAUAAACUCUGCAUGCUGCUGUAGAGACAGCUAACACAAGAUGCUGACAGACUACAUGACAGAAACGUAUUCAGCCUGUGGAAAUGAAGACCCUGGUCCUUAGUGUGGAUAGGAAUGUCGUAGUGCCACUUGCAGACGGCAGUGUCCAGGGAGCCCUAAAAAGGGAAGGAGUCUCACUCUGAUUCCUGGCAGCUCGUGGAGCAGUGGACGCUAAAUUAGGCCUGGUUUCAUUGACUUCCCAUCCCCAGAGUCUCAGCAGCCCCGCAGCCCAGAGGAGGAGAGGCAGGCUGGUGCUCAGGGCCU